CUUACCAAGGCAAUGAUGCGUAGCCGAACUGAGAGGUUGAUCGGCCACAUUGGGACUGAGACACUGCCCAAACUCCUACGGGAGGCAGCAGUAGGGAAUCUUCCNCAAUGGGCGAAGACUGAUGGAGCAACGCCGCGUGGUGAGAACGAGUUUCGGAUCGUAAAACCUGUGUUGAGAGGAAGACAGUCAAGAUACUGUCUAGUCGACGUNACACGAGACGCGACGUACUAACGUGCACGUCGUGGAGGCCGAGGGUACACGUACGAGGGGAUAAGGCGUAUCGGAUUAUGGGCUAGCGACGCGGCCGCGUCGACAGCUUACCAAGCACGAUCUGUAGCUGGUCUGAGAGGACACCAGCACAUGGGACUGAGCACGGCCAGCUCCAGGGAGCAGCAAGUGGGAAUCUUCCGCAAAUGGACGCAAAGUCUGAACGGAGCAAACGCCGNGUGAGUGACGAAAGGUUUUCGGAUCGUAAAAACUCUGUUAGNGAAGGGAGAAACAGUACCAAGUAACUACNGGGUUUACCCG
RNAcentral lists this ribosomal RNA (528 nucleotides) under uncultured bacterium. RNAcentral's name for it is "partial 16S ribosomal RNA". The stretch from base 1 to 245 matches the Rfam family "Bacterial small subunit ribosomal RNA", at positions 264 to 538 of the family's 1533-position model. The record is from RNAcentral.